GGAGGGUGCAAGCGUUGUUCGGAAUUACUGGGCGUAAAGCGUGUGUAGGCGGAUUCGGUAGUCGGGUGUGAAAGCCCUGGGCUCAACCCAGGAAGUGCGCCCGAAACCACGAGUCUUGAGGUCCGGAGGGGAUCGGGGAAUUCCCAGUGUAGAGGUGAAAUUCGUAGAUAUUGGGAGGAACACCGGCGGCGAAGGCGCCGAUCUGGACGGAUUCUGACGCUGAGACACGAAAGCGUGGGGAGCAAACAGGAUUAGAUACCCUGGUAGUCCACGCCGUAAACGAUGUGCACUAGGUGUCGGGGGUAUUGACCCCCCCCUCGGUGCCGACGCUAGCGCAUUAAGUGCACCGCCUGGGAAGUACGGCCGCAAGGCUG
This 374-nucleotide ribosomal RNA is filed under the name uncultured organism. Its description in RNAcentral is "partial 16S ribosomal RNA". It matches the Rfam family "Bacterial small subunit ribosomal RNA", at positions 527 to 896 of the family's 1533-position model. The record is from RNAcentral.